This 840-nucleotide ribosomal RNA is filed under the name Fictibacillus sp. RNAcentral's name for it is "bacterial SSU rRNA". It matches the Rfam family "Bacterial small subunit ribosomal RNA", at positions 359 to 1194 of the family's 1533-position model. Lineage: Bacteria; Bacillati; Bacillota; Bacilli; Caryophanales; Fictibacillaceae. The record is from RNAcentral.
GUGGCUUCGGGCAUGGACGAGUCUGACCGAGCACGCCGCGUGAGCGAUGAAGGCCUUCGGGUCGUAAAGCUCUGUUGUCAGAGAAGAACAAGUACCGGAGUAACUGCCGGUACCUUGACGGUACCUGACCAGAAAGCCACGGCUAACUACGUGCCAGCAGCCGCGGUAAUACGUAGGUGGCAAGCGUUAUCCGGAAUUAUUGGGCGUAAAGCGCGCGCAGGCGGUUCUUUAAGUCUGAUGUGAAAGCCCACGGCUCAACCGUGGAGGGUCAUUGGAAACUGGGGAACUUGAGUGCAGGAGAGAAAAGUGGAAUUCCACGUGUAGCGGUGAAAUGCGUAGAGAUGUGGAGGAACACCAGUGGCGAAGGCGGCUUUUUGGCCUGUAACUGACGCUGAGGCGCGAAAGCGUGGGGAGCAAACAGGAUUAGAUACCCUGGUAGUCCACGCCGUAAACGAUGAGUGCUAGGUGUUGGGGGGUUCCACCCUCAGUGCUGACGUUAACACAUUAAGCACUCCGCCUGGGGAGUACGGCCGCAAGGCUGAAACUCAAAGGAAUUGACGGGGGCCCGCACAAGCAGUGGAGCAUGUGGUUUAAUUCGAAGCAACGCGAAGAACCUUACCAGGUCUUGACAUCCUCUGACCACUUGAGAGAUCAAGCUUUCCCCUUCGGGGGACAGAGUGACAGGUGGUGCAUGGUUGUCGUCAGCUCGUGUCGUGAGAUGUUGGGUUAAGUCCCGCAACGAGGGCAACCGUUGACCUUAGAUGCCAGCCUUAAGUUGGGCACUCUAUAGAGACUGAGGGCGACGUAUGGGAGGAUUGUGCGGAUGACGUCAAAGCUGUC